Long non-coding RNA from Heteronotia binoei (common prickly gecko), 339 nucleotides. RefSeq lists it as uncharacterized. The record is from RefSeq and is a predicted model, not a curated record. The transcript is spliced from 2 exons. Lineage: Eukaryota; Metazoa; Chordata; Lepidosauria; Squamata; Gekkonidae.
CCAGAAGCCAAGGGAGUCGGGCGGGCAAAGUGCCUCGCCGGCAUGACGGGCAAGGGCUCCCCUUACCUGGUACCAGCGCAGCGGCCGUCGGAAAGCUCGAGGACAAAUGACAAAUUACAAACAUCUGAUUUUCUCAAGUGUCCAAGGUAUUAUACACAUUCCCAUCUGUCUUACAGAAAGGAAUACUGGUCAACAUUUUUAGGUAAAAUAAGCUGCAUAAUAGUACAGAUUGCUAUAAUAAAUGUACAGUGUUUACAAAUAGUUUAGAAGCAAGGAAGAUGCAUCAGCAUCAAAAGGCAACCUUUUAAACUGCCACAACUAAUUUUACAUUCACGCUUU